GACGUAGGGGGCCAGCGUUGCUCGGAAUUACUUGGCGUAAAGGGUUCGUAGGCGGUGUGGCAAGUCGGGAGUGAAAUCUCUGGGCUUAACUCAGAGGCUGCUUCCGAAACUGCCGUGCUAGAGUGCGGGAGAGGCGAGUGGAAUUGCAGGUGUAGCGGUGAAAUGCGUAGAUAUCUGCAGGAACACCCGUGGCGAAGGCGGCUCGCUGGACCGCAACUGACGCUGAGGAACGAAAGCUAGGGGAGCAAACAGG
RNAcentral lists this ribosomal RNA (253 nucleotides) under uncultured bacterium. RNAcentral describes it as "partial 16S ribosomal RNA". It matches the Rfam family "Bacterial small subunit ribosomal RNA", at positions 524 to 776 of the family's 1533-position model. The record is from RNAcentral.